UACGUAGGGGGCAAGCGUUGUCCGGAAUCAUUGGGCGUAAAGAGCGUGUAGGCGGCUCGGCAAGUCCGCUCUGAAAGCCCGGGGCUCAACCCCGGGAGGCGGGCGGAUACUGUCGGGCUAGAGUCCGGAAGAGGCGAGUGGAAUUCCUGGUGUAGCGGUGAAAUGCGCAGAUAUCAGGAGGAACACCAAUGGCGAAGGCAGCUCGCUGGGACGGUACUGACGCUGAGACGCGAAAGCGUGGGGAGCAAACAGG
Molecule: ribosomal RNA, 253 nt
Filed under: uncultured bacterium
Lineage: Bacteria
Description: partial 16S ribosomal RNA
Rfam family: Bacterial small subunit ribosomal RNA
Source: RNAcentral